This 4103-nucleotide ribosomal RNA is filed under the name Triticum aestivum (bread wheat). RNAcentral's name for it is "partial small subunit ribosomal RNA". The stretch from base 3548 to 3682 matches the Rfam family "MIR1120/MIR1122 microRNA precursor family". Lineage: Eukaryota; Viridiplantae; Streptophyta; Magnoliopsida; Poales; Poaceae. The record is from RNAcentral.
CACAAGCGCAAGCAGAGGAGGGCCAAAAUACUGACUUGUAUUUAUCAUCUACUGGCUCUAGUAUGCUUCUGCUAUCCAUCCAGGCAAGGCAUCACAAAAUCUCAGAAAUCUGAAGAUUUCGUUCAUUCCCUUCUUCUGCAACUGCAAGCAGAGGAGUUUUAUCUUGAUCACUGUUGAUUGAAGUAAUCCUGUAUUCAGCUUGCGCUCUGCCUCGCGAGAUCUUGAAACUAUCGAUAGGCUGGAAGACUGGUUCUAAGGUGCAGCAGCAUGGUUUCCCCCUGGUAAUUGACUGAUAAUUUUCUGUUAUCUAUUGCGAUUCUUAGCUUGCACUCAGCCUUGCGAGAUCUUUAAAACUAUAGAUGGGCUAGAAGACUGCAGGUUUAUAAGCCUCCAGUUUCCAGUCACUGAAGCAAGUCACCUGGGUGUUUUUGGUGGAUCUCCGUUGCCGAGUUUGUCUGAUCCAUGGCAGCCAUACUUGCAUCUUUGCUUGGAUCAUGUGCCAAUAAGUUGCAAAACAUCAUUACCGAUGAGGCCAUACUAAUCCUUGGCGUGGAAGAAGAUCUCAGAGAAGUCCUGCAGCGAGUAGAACUAAUACAGUGUUGCAUAUACGAUGCUGAGAAAAGGAGGACAAAAGAGCUAGCAGUAAACAAUUGGCUCGGCCAACUAAGAGAUGUUAUAUAUGAUGUUGAUGAAAUCCUGGACGUGGCUAGGUGUAAAGGAAGCAAGCUACUACCUGACGAUCCUUCAUCAUCAUCAACCACAUCGGCUGCAUGUAAAGGCCUCUCGGUUUCCUCUUGCUUUUGUAACAUCUGGUCACGUCGUGAUGUUGCUGUUCGGAUUAGAAGCCUCAACAAAAAAAUAGAGAACAUUUCAAAGGACACGGUAUUCUUCACACUCGACACUAAUAUACAGCCUACCAGAAAUGUUGCAACAUCCAAACUGAUAAGAAGCUCCAACCUUGUCGAGCCCAACCUUGUGGGGAAGGAGAUCAAAUAUGCUAGCAGGAAGCUGGUGGACUUAGUUGUUGCCCACAAGAAAAGUAAGUCUUACAAGCUUGCUAUUGUUGGAAAGGGAGGAGUUGGUAAGACAACACUAGCUCAGAAAAUAUACAAUGAUCAAACAAUAAAAGGAAGUUUCAAGAUACACGCAUGGAUUUGUGUUUCACAAGACUACAAUGAAGUAACUCUUCUUAAAGAGGUUCUCCGGAAUAUUGGUGUGCAUCAUGAGCAAGGUGAAACCAUAACCGAGCUCCAGAGGAAGCUUGCAGAAACAAUUGAAGGGAAGAGUUUCUUUCUGGUUCUAGAUGAUGUCUGGCAUUCCAAUGUAUGGAUGGAUCUAUUAAGGCCUGCAUUACAUGAAACAACAUCCGGAGUAAUAUUGGUAACCACACGAGAUGAUCAAAUUACAAGGAGAAUAGGUGUGCAGCAUAUCCAUCGAGUUGAUCUCAUGUCAGUAGAGGUGGGAUGGGAGCUACUUUGGAAGAGCAUGAACAUUGAUGAAGAGAAAGAAGUGCAGAAUUUGAGAAACACAGGGAUUGAGAUUGUUCGUAAAUGCGGUCGCCUCCCUCUUGCAAUCAAGGUAACUGCUAGUGCAUUGGCAAGCAGAGAUCUGACGGAGAAUGAGUGGAGAAAGUAUUUGGACAAAUAUGUUGGCUCCCACAACAUGAUCUCGGAUGAAAUCCAAGGAUCUCUGUAUCUAAGCUAUGAUGAGUUACCACAUCGUCUUAAGCAGUGUUUCCUAUAUUGUGCUCUGUAUGCUGAAGAUUCUAUCAUUUGGCGUAAUAAAGUUACCUGGUUAUGGAUUGCUGAAGGAUUCAUAGAGGAGCGGCAAGGCCAACUAAUAGAAGAUGUAGCAGAAGAGUACUACUACGAGCUAAUCCACCGUAAUCUCCUCCAAGCAGAUAUCUUAUAUUUUGGCAUGGUUGCCUCCAAAAUGCAUGACCUCUUAAGACAACUUGCACUGAACAUAUCAAGAGAAGAAUGUUUUAUUGGAGAUGUUGAAACAUUAAGGGGUGUAAAUAUGUCAAAACUGCGACGUGUUACUGCUGUUACUAAGAAGGAUAUGUUGGUGUUAUCUAGAGUGGAUAAGGUGGAUGUUAAGGUCAGGACUUUCCACGGAGAAUUGAGGAUACAUUGUUCAAGAGAUUUCUGCUUCUUCGUAUUUUGGUACUAAAUUACACACUUGUGCAAAGCAUUCCAGACUAUAUAGGAAAACUGAUACAUCUACGGCUACUUAAUUUAGAUUACACUGGCAUAUCUUGUCUUCCGGAAUCCAUUGGCUCCCUAAAGAACCUUCAAGUACUGAGCUUGAGAUCGUGUCAUCAUCUGCACAAUCUUCCUUCCGUAGUGACCCAGUUGAGCAGUUUAAGAUGUCUUGAUCUUUUUGACACAGAAAUAAAUCAAGUUCCAAAAGGGAUAGGGAAACUGAAAUUCCUCACUUUUGGAAGGGGUUAUCCCAUUGUUGAUGGAAUUGAUAAUGCUGACGUACAAGAUGGAUGGAAGUUGGAAGAGUUGUCUUCUUUGUCGCAGAUGAGGUUUCUUUCUAUUGUUAAAUUGGAAAGAGCUGCUCAUUGCAGUACAUAUGCAGUGCUGACAGACAAAAAGCAUCUAAAAGAACUAGUACUAGAGUGAAAUGAACAUGGAGAGGGAUCAUAUUCAGAAGAAGAUGUUAGCAAUACUGAGAAGGUAUUUGAGAAGCUAAUACCUCCACACAGCCUGGAAGACCUAUGUAUUUCUAGAUUCUUUGGUCGGCAGUAUCCCACCUGGUUUGGUACCACAUGUUUGUAUUCACAGACUCCGAAAUGUACGAUCAUGUGUGGAACUUCCACCAAUCUGGCAGCUACCCAACUUGAAAUAUCUGAGAAUUGAUGGAGCACAUGCAGUUAGCAAGGUUGGACCUCAAUUUGUUGGCUGCAAGAAGGGUAAUCCUGUGUGUAAUGAGUUGGUUCUUUCCCUAAACUUGAAUGGUUGAUCUUCAUGGAUAUACCCAACUGGGAGGUGUGGUCUAUUUUUGAGGAAGAAGUUGCUGCUAAUGAUGAAAGGGGCGAGGAUGGAGCUGCUGAUAUUCGAAAAGAGGAUGCCCAAUCUGCAAGGUUGCAACUGCUACCUCGUUUGGUGGGGUUGCACCUAGAAGAUUGCCCGAAGCUGAGGGCUCUCCCACGACAGCUUGGAAAGGACAUUACCAGCUUGAAGGAGCUUAGAUUAUUUGGAAUAAACAACUUGAAGGCGGUGGAGGACUUUCCAAAUAUUCCCGAGCUCCUUUCUAUAAAAGAUUGUGAAGGCCUGGAGAGGAUCUGCAACCUCGCUCAAGUGACAUACCUGCAUGUACUAGGUUGUCCAAACUUAAGCCAUGUAGAGGGGUUGGGCAAUUUGCAACAACUAGGGUUGGCGGUGGAUAUGCAAGAGGUCUCUUCCGGCUGGGUGCCUGGGUUUCAUGAACAGCACCAACGAAUUCAUGGUGAAGACCUGGAUGUCUCCACGGUUGUCUAGCUGUUAGAUGGCUCAAGUGCAGGACUGGUGGCGCGUUAGCUUUGACGUGCAAAGCACAAGACGUACUCCCUCCGUCCGAAAAUACUUGUCAUCAAAAUGGAUAAAAGAAGAUGUAUCUAGAACUAAAAUACAUCUAGAUACAUCCUCUUUUAUCCAUUUUGAUGACAACUAUUUCCGGACGGAGGGAGUAGUAAGUUGAGGAAGCUUGUCAAUGUUGAAGAUGCACAAGUACCCUGUUUAUGGAUGUGUAACGAGCCGGUGAAGAAAGAAAUUGUCCUGUUUUCCUUUGGGCAGGUGCCCAGGAAAUACUGUAUCGAGUUUCGUUUUGUUUAUUUCUGAAUUUGGGCCAGAGGCUUUUGCUGUACUGAAUCUCCUGCCUGUGUGGUAUUGUUUCACUUAUUUAUUUCUGAACUUGGGGCUAGUGGUUUUUGCAGUACUAAACCAGUGUGGCAUGGUAUCGUUCUCUUAAUUGAACCGGUGGAUUUCGCCUUGGCAUGGUUUUUUCUUUGAAUGGCAUCGAUGAAUUUUGUUUUAUUUUGUUUCUGAACUUGGGCCUGAUGCUUUGCCUGUGUAACCUGUAAGACCAAACCUGUGUGACCCAGUCAUGAAGGAAGA